Motacilla alba alba is the source of this 931-nucleotide long non-coding RNA. RefSeq lists it as uncharacterized. The record is from RefSeq and is a predicted model, not a curated record. The transcript has 3 exons. NCBI's taxonomy places the organism in Eukaryota, Metazoa, Chordata, Aves, Passeriformes, Motacillidae.
AGGGAAGAGGAACGCGGUCGCUAGGGGGGGAAGCUGCAUCCUCUGAAGGGAGAUGGUCCUACCUCCCGGCCGAGGACGGCGACGGGAGAGCGGGAGAGCGCAAGAACGACGCAGCCCCUCACACACGGCGGCCGGGGAAGAAGGGUGCUGAGAGGGCAUCUCCCGGGAUGCCCUCCCGGGACUCGCCGGCACCGCGUUUCCCGCCCCUGAGGAUCCCCAUCUUCUACAAGGAGAAGGUCAAUGUUGCUGCAGAGCCAGGAGAGGGAGCACAGACAUUGCCGCUUGUUGGUCAUGCUUUUAGAGCGUCUGAGGAAGGUAAAGCUUAUCAAAAUGGAUGAAGCUUAUCAAAAUUUAUGAAUCACAGUGGAUGAAGGGAAGACAGGUAUAUUAAAUGCUGAUACAAGAAUACAUAAUUUUCUCAGAAGCUAAUCUGAAACUGGACUACUUCCCAGAAUAAUCAAUAAGUGUACAAGGAUUUUCUACCUGCUGUUUAUGCAAAGUUCUGAAGGAUUUUCAGAUAUAUUUUUAUAUAAAAGAUGUAGCACUUCUUAUACAAGAAAACUAGUUUUGUAUGGAGUUUUUUGUUGGUUUUGUUCUGGGCUUUUUUCCCUUUAGGAAAGGCAGAAGAGGACAAUCACUAUUUAUAUAGUUCUAUAAAACACUCUGAUCUGGUCCACAAUGGUUUGUUAACUGCAUCCAACUUCUGAUUCUUAGCUAAAUGCGGGUUUUUUCUUACCUUUUCCCACAUUGCAGCAUGGACCCAUCGUGUGUAUCUCGUGUAUAUGUCAUGUGGUGUGACAGAAAAACACCUCUUUCAAAAACUCUCCUCUUUUCCCGCUAGAGGGCUCUCCCAAAAUACUCAUGAGAGACCGUUCCAUUGACUGAGACUGCUACUUUAAACAAACGUUUUUAGGAAUGUUUACGUGUAAUG